Molecule: ribosomal RNA, 264 nt
Filed under: uncultured bacterium
Lineage: Bacteria
Description: partial 16S ribosomal RNA
Rfam family: Bacterial small subunit ribosomal RNA
Source: RNAcentral
CGGGUACGGGUACGGAGUAACGCGUCGGGUAACCGUCGCCUUACACGANGGGGAUAACACCUGGAAACAGGUGCUAAUACCGCAUAAGCGCACAGGGCCGCAUGGCCCGGUGUGAAAAACUCCGGUGGUGUAAGAUGGACCCGCGUCUGAUUAGCUUGUUGGCGGGGUAGGGGCCCACCAAGGCGACGAUCAGUAGCCGGCCUGAGAGGGCGACCGGCCACAUUGGGACUGAGACACGGCCCAGACUCCUACGGGAGGCAGCAG